This 617-nucleotide long non-coding RNA is filed under the name Manacus vitellinus (golden-collared manakin). RNAcentral's name for it is "lncRNA (ENSMVIG00005015474.1)". The record is from RNAcentral. Lineage: Eukaryota; Metazoa; Chordata; Aves; Passeriformes; Pipridae.
UUCUUCCUUGUGCUGCCAGUUGCCAUCGUUGCUGCAUUAGCAAUAAUUAAGCGGGAUGCAAUAAGGAGAAAAUUUUGCAGGAAGAGUAGAAGACAGCACAGGGAUAACAAUGUGCAGGAAGCAAAGCAAGAUAACAAACCAAGUCAUGACACAAGAAAUAAUCAGCCUGCCACAUCAAGUCCAGAUAUUUUUACCAUAUUGCAUUUUCCUGGUACAAGGCACCCAGUACAAACCCAAUUUCCUGCAGUUCCCUCAGGACCUCAACGACCCCCAGUCCCACCUAGACCAGCAGUCUGAAAAGCUUCUUGGGAACCCUCAACCAAUUCUGACAAGUAACUGGCCUGAAAAAAAACCAAAUUACAAGAUUUCAAUCCUCCAGUCCUCUCCUUGUGCGGCCAAAAUGCCUUUGGGAAGCACGUGCCUCUGGGAAAGGCUGGAUGCCAAGAGGCACUGAACGCAGAUUUGGUGACUCCCAAUGUUUUGCUACUUGCUGCUGGCUGUGUUUGUGCCUCCUCUACCUCACCUCUUGGUUUUUUAAAUCAGAAGCCUGAAGUUCAACACUCAUAGGAUUACACUUGUGACAGUGUGUAAGUCUGAGGUGCAGGCCAAGGAGAAGU